This 772-nucleotide unclassified non-coding RNA is filed under the name Hevea brasiliensis (rubber tree). Lineage: Eukaryota; Viridiplantae; Streptophyta; Magnoliopsida; Malpighiales; Euphorbiaceae. The record is from RNAcentral.
CUGCAACUUCCCAUCAUCAUCCCUCUGAAUUUCUUGGUUCUAAAUAUGGCAGCGAAACGAUUGUUUGGUGAAUCAAGUAGCGACCCAGAUCACCCAAAUGAGAAACGAAUGAGAACUACACCUUCUUUUGCUUCAGUAAUUACAAAAGCGGUUAAGGUGAAUUCUUUACAGAACUUCUGUAAGGUCAUAGAGCCAAUGCUCAGGAGAGUGGUUAAUGAAGAAGUGGAGAAUAGUCUGAAACGAUGUUCAUCAUCACGCCCUUUCACUCGAUCUCCUUCAUUGCGAAUCCAGGCACCUGAGCCAUCACCAUCUAGCCUGCAACUAAAGUUUAGAAAGGAUCUUUUGCUCCCAAUAUUUACUGGGAGCAAAAUCGUUGAUAUAGAUAAUUCACCCCUUCAAAUCCUUUUAGUAGAUACAAGAGGUGAUCCGAUGGUCCCAACAUCUCUCCCUCACCCAAUCAAAAUAGAAAUCCUCGCUCUUGAUGGAGAUUUCCCUUCUGAUGAUCGGAAUACUUGGAGUAGUGAAGAGUUUGACAACAAUAUAUUGAAGGAGAGAACGGGCAAGCGGCCUUUGCUUGCAGGAGAUUGCUUGAUGGUCACCUUAAGAGAUGGAAUUGCACCACUUGGAGAGAUUGAGUUCACCGAUAAUUCGAGCUGGAUUAGGAGUAGAAAGUUUAGGCUUGCUGCAAGAGUGGUUUCAGGGAGCUCCCCUGGUGUUCGGAUUCGUGAAGCAAUGACUGAAGCUUUUGUUGUCAAGGAUCAUCGCGGAGAAU